UACGUAGGGUGCAAGCGUUGUCCGGAAUUAUUGGGCGUAAAGAGCUUGUAGGCGGUUUGUCGCGUCUGCUGUGAAAUUUCGGGGCUCAACCCCGAACUUGCAGUGGGUACGGGCAGACUAGAGUACAGAAGGGGCAACUGGAAUUCUCGGUGUAGCGGUGAAAUGCGUAGAUAUCGAGAGGAACACCUGCGGCGAAGGCGGGUUGCUGGGCUGAUACUGACGCUGAGGCGCGAAAGCCAGGGGAGCGAACGGG
RNAcentral lists this ribosomal RNA (253 nucleotides) under uncultured bacterium. RNAcentral describes it as "partial 16S ribosomal RNA". It matches the Rfam family "Bacterial small subunit ribosomal RNA", at positions 524 to 776 of the family's 1533-position model. The record is from RNAcentral.